UUGAACGCUGGCGGCAUGCCUUACACAUGCAAGUCGAACGGUAACGGGCCUUCGGGUGCCGACGAGUGGCGAACGGGUGAGUAAUACAUCGGAACGUGCCCGAUCGUGGGGGAUAACGAGGCGAAAGCUUUGCUAAUACCGCAUACGAUCUACGGAUGAAAGCAGGGGACUGCAAGGCCUUGCGCGGACGGAGCGGCCGAUGGCAGAUUAGGUAGUUGGUGGGAUAAAAGCUUACCAAGCCGACGAUCUGUAGCUGGUCUGAGAGGAUGAUCAGCCACACUGGGACUGAGACACGGCCCAGACUCCUACGGGAGGCAGCAGUGGGGAAUUUUGGACAAUGGGCGCAAGCCUGAUCCAGCCAUGCCGCGUGCAGGAUGAAGGCCUUCGGGUUGUAAACUGCUUUUGUACGGAACGAAAAGCCUUCUUUUAAUACAGGAGGGUCAUGACGGUACCGUAAGAAUAAGCACCGGCUAACUACGUG
Molecule: ribosomal RNA, 481 nt
Filed under: uncultured bacterium
Lineage: Bacteria
Description: partial 16S ribosomal RNA
Rfam family: Bacterial small subunit ribosomal RNA
Source: RNAcentral